Molecule: ribosomal RNA, 366 nt
Filed under: uncultured bacterium
Lineage: Bacteria
Description: bacterial SSU rRNA
Rfam family: Bacterial small subunit ribosomal RNA
Source: RNAcentral
AGCGAACGCUGGCGGCAGGCUUAACACAUGCAAGUCGAACGAUCCUUCGGGAUAGUGGCGGACGGGUGAGUAACACGUGGGAACGUGCCUUUUGGUUCGGAAUAACUCAGGGAAACUUGAGCUAAUACCGGAUGUGCCCUUCGGGGAAAGGAUUAUCGCCAUUAGAGCGGCCCGCGUCUGAUUAGCUUGUUGGUGAGGUAAUGGCUCACCAAGGCGACGAUCAGUAGCUGGCUGAGAGGAUGAUCAGCCACAUUGGGACUGAGACACGGCCCAAACUCCUACGGGAGGCAGCAGUGGGGAAUCUUGCGCAAUGGGCGAAAGCCUGACGCAGCCAUGCCGCGUGAAUGAUGAAGGUCUUAGGAUUGU